UAGGGAAUCUUCGGCAAUGGGACGAAAGUCUGACCGAGCAACGCCGCGUGAGUGAAGAAGGUUUUCGGAUCGUAAAACUCUGUUGGUAGAGAAGAACGUUGGCGAGAGUGGAAAGCUCAUCAAGUGACGGUAACUACCCAGAAAGGGACGGCUAACUACGUGCCAA
RNAcentral lists this ribosomal RNA (166 nucleotides) under uncultured bacterium. RNAcentral describes it as "partial 16S rRNA". It matches the Rfam family "Bacterial small subunit ribosomal RNA", at positions 355 to 511 of the family's 1533-position model. The record is from RNAcentral.